UUUAAUCCAAUUCUUAAUGCAUUUUUGGAUGAUUAUUUGAUGUAAAAUGGUGAAUUUUAUACUCCUAAUACUUUAAAUUCAUGUUUCUAUUCUUAGAAGAGCAUUUGGGAGCAAAAGGAGUGAAAAACGAGUGAAAAUUAGAAAAUUGGAGCAAGGUACAGGGACAACACGGGCUAGGUACACAAUUGUGUGAGCCACAUAGCCAUGUGCCAGACCGUGUGAAAAUCACAAAUUGCACUCCAAACACGCGGAAAAAUGUAAUUUUGAGGUUUCCC
RNAcentral lists this long non-coding RNA (275 nucleotides) under Gossypium barbadense (sea-island cotton). Its description in RNAcentral is "long non-coding RNA (GBAR_LNC009350)". The record is from RNAcentral. Lineage: Eukaryota; Viridiplantae; Streptophyta; Magnoliopsida; Malvales; Malvaceae.